Molecule: ribosomal RNA, 323 nt
Filed under: uncultured bacterium
Lineage: Bacteria
Description: bacterial SSU rRNA
Rfam family: Bacterial small subunit ribosomal RNA
Source: RNAcentral
AUUGAACGCUGGCGGAAUGCUUUACACAUGCAAGUCGAGCGGCAGCGCGGGGGCAACCCUGGCGGCGAGCGGCGAACGGGUGAGUAAUACAUCGGAACGUGUCCUUCAAGUGGGGGAUAGCUCGGCGAAAGCCGGAUUAAUACCGCAUAAGCUCUGAGGAGGAAAGCGGGGGACUGGUAACGGCCUCGCGCUGUUGGAGCGGCCGAUGUCGGAUUAGCUAGUUGGGGGGUAAAGGCCCACCAAGGCGACGAUCCGUAGCUGGUCUGAGAGGAUGAUCAGCCACACUGGAACUGAGACACGGUCCAGACUCCGUACGGGAGCAG